RNAcentral lists this long non-coding RNA (196 nucleotides) under Mus spicilegus (steppe mouse). RNAcentral describes it as "lncRNA (ENSMSIG00000012404.1)". The record is from RNAcentral. Lineage: Eukaryota; Metazoa; Chordata; Mammalia; Rodentia; Muridae.
CUGCAUCUGCAUGUAUGGACGCUCAUACUCACCAAAUUUUCAUGUGACACCAUUGCAGAUAUAGGACAUUUCUAUUUAUUCAAGGAACAUGUGCAUACAAGCCAAGAAAGAAAAAACAAGAAGUCACUGGGAGAGCAAAGGAUGCAUACCAAAUCACCUGACACGGCACACAUUCUGUUUUUGUCUUCUCUUCCCA